Long non-coding RNA from Xenia sp. Carnegie-2017, 483 nucleotides. RefSeq lists it as uncharacterized. The transcript is spliced from 3 exons. The record is from RefSeq and is a predicted model, not a curated record. NCBI's taxonomy places the organism in Eukaryota, Metazoa, Cnidaria, Anthozoa, Malacalcyonacea, Xeniidae.
UGCUUGUCAAUUAGUGAAAUGAAUUUGUAGCCGAUGUUUGUGCUGACGUUCUUGCUGUAUGGUGGGUUGUACCAGAGUAUGUUAUUUCUAAGUCUGUUUUUCCGUUUCGUAGUAGCGUUUGGGUCAUAUUUCAGCGUGUAAUGAUAUCCAUUUUCGUCAAGUGCUUUUUGGUAUGGAGGGAUUGCUUGGUCGAAUGAUGCUCUGUCGGAUGAUAAGGAUGAAAGGCGUUUGUUAAUGGUAUCGGGUGUUGCUUUAGUAAUGGCUAGUCCGUCGUCGCGAUAGAGUCCUAUGUUAGUAAUGAUGUGUUGCAGUUGUGAGAGUAGAUAGCUUCCUACAAGUUCGCAUGUUUCGGCGCCGUCGAAGCUGCCCAUUGUCACGUCGAAUGUGGAGUUGUAUUUCUUUUGCCAUGGUUAUUGGUUGUGAAUGAGGUAUGAAUUCUUGGCAUGUAUGAUAAUGUUUCUCUCUUGGUUUUCUCUGCGUUGA